This 703-nucleotide ribosomal RNA is filed under the name Campeiostachys dahurica var. cylindrica. RNAcentral describes it as "eukaryotic LSU rRNA". The stretch from base 270 to 425 matches the Rfam family "5.8S ribosomal RNA". Lineage: Eukaryota; Viridiplantae; Streptophyta; Magnoliopsida; Poales; Poaceae. The record is from RNAcentral.
UCGUAACAAGGUUUCCGUAGGUGAACCUGCGGAAGGAUCAUUGUCGUGACCCUGACCAAAACAGACCGCGCACGCGUCAUCCAAUCCGUCGGUGACGGCAUCGUCCGUCGCUCGGCCAAUGCCUCGACCACCUCCCCUCCUCGGAGUGGGUGGGGGCUCGGGGUAAAAGAACCCACGGCGCCGAAGGCGUCAAGGAACACUGUGCCUAACCCGGGGGCAUGGCUAGCUUGCUAGCCAUCCCUCGUGUUGCAAAGCUAUUUAAUCCACACGACUCUCGGCAACGGAUAUCUCGGCUCUCGCAUCGAUGAAGAACGUAGCGAAAUGCGAUACCUGGUGUGAAUUGCAGAAUCCCGCGAACCAUCGAGUCUUUGAACGCAAGUUGCGCCCGAGGCCACUCGGCCGAGGGCACGCCUGCCUGGGCGUCACGCCAAAACACGCUCCCAACACCCCUCAUCGGGAAUCGGGAUGCGGCAUCUGGUCCCUCGUCUCGCAAGGGGCGGUGGACCGAAGAUCGGGCUGCCGGCGUACCGCGCCGGACACAGCGCAUGGUGGGCGUCCUCGCUUUAUCAACGCAGUGCAUCCGACGCGCAGCCGGCAUGAUGGCCUCAAAACGACCCAGCAAACGAAGCGCACGUCGCUUCGACCGCGACCCCAGGUCAGGCGGGACUACCCGCUGAGUUUAAGCAUAUCAAUAAGCGGAGGA